GCGCGGAUGAUCUUCACUGGUGUGGAGUGCGGGCUUCAAACCCGUAGCCGAUUAGCGUCGGAGUGGUUCAAUUCCACCUUCUGCGCG
This is a non-coding RNA of Nematostella vectensis (starlet sea anemone), 87 nucleotides long. NCBI's taxonomy places the organism in Eukaryota, Metazoa, Cnidaria, Anthozoa, Actiniaria, Edwardsiidae. The record is from the annotation of a RefSeq genome assembly.